GACGAACGCUGGCGGCGUGCUUAACACAUGCAAGUCGAACGGAAAGGCCCUGCUUUUGUGGGGUGCUCGAGUGGCGAACGGGUGAGUAACACGUGAGUAACCUGCCCUUGACUUUGGGAUAACUUCAGGAAACUGGGGCUAAUACCGGAUAGGAGCUCCUGCUGCAUGGUGGGGGUUGGAAAGUUUCGGCGGUUGGGGAUGGACUGGCGGCUUAUCAGCUUGUUGGUGGGGUAGUGGCUUACCAAGGCUUUGACGGGUAGCCGGCCUGAGAGGGUGACCGGCCACAUUGGGACUGCGAUACGGCCCAGACUCCUACGGGAGGCAGCAGUGGGGAAUAUUGCACAAUGGGCGGAAGCCUGAUGCAGCAACGCCGCGUGCGUGAUGACGGCCUUCGGGUUGUAAACCGCUUUCGCCUGUGACGAAGCGUGAGUGACGGUAAUGGGUAAAGAAGCACCGGCUAACUACGUG
This 468-nucleotide ribosomal RNA is filed under the name uncultured bacterium. Its description in RNAcentral is "partial 16S ribosomal RNA". It matches the Rfam family "Bacterial small subunit ribosomal RNA", at positions 28 to 507 of the family's 1533-position model. The record is from RNAcentral.